Molecule: small nucleolar RNA, 68 nt
Organism: Nothobranchius furzeri (turquoise killifish)
Lineage: Eukaryota; Metazoa; Chordata; Actinopteri; Cyprinodontiformes; Nothobranchiidae
Source: Ensembl
UGUAAAUGAUGACCAGUCUUUCCCCGACAUCACGAUGGGGGUAAAAACUGAUUUAAUGAGUCUGAUGC